Molecule: ribosomal RNA, 737 nt
Filed under: Bacillus pumilus
Lineage: Bacteria; Bacillati; Bacillota; Bacilli; Caryophanales; Bacillaceae
Description: bacterial SSU rRNA
Rfam family: Bacterial small subunit ribosomal RNA
Source: RNAcentral
GACGGUUUCGGCUGUCACUUACAGAUGGACCCGCGGCGCAUUAGCUAGUUGGUGGGGUAAUGGCUCACCAAGGCGACGAUGCGUAGCCGACCUGAGAGGGUGAUCGGCCACACUGGGACUGAGACACGGCCCAGACUCCUACGGGAGGCAGCAGUAGGGAAUCUUCCGCAAUGGACGAAAGUCUGACGGAGCAACGCCGCGUGAGUGAUGAAGGUUUUCGGAUCGUAAAGCUCUGUUGUUAGGGAAGAACAAGUGCGAGAGUAACUGCUCGCACCUUGACGGUACCUAACCAGAAAGCCACGGCUAACUACGUGCCAGCAGCCGCGGUAAUACGUAGGUGGCAAGCGUUGUCCGGAAUUAUUGGGCGUAAAGGGCUCGCAGGCGGUUUCUUAAGUCUGAUGUGAAAGCCCCCGGCUCAACCGGGGAGGGUCAUUGGAAACUGGGAAACUUGAGUGCAGAAGAGGAGAGUGGAAUUCCACGUGUAGCGGUGAAAUGCGUAGAGAUGUGGAGGAACACCAGUGGCGAAGGCGACUCUCUGGUCUGUAACUGACGCUGAGGAGCGAAAAGCGUGGGGAGCGAACAGGAUUAGAUACCCUGGUAGUCCACGCCGUAAACGAUGAGUGCUAAGUGUUAUGGGGGUUUCCGCCCCCUUAGUGCUGGCAGCUAACGCAUUAAGCACUCCGCCUGGGGUAGGUUACUGGUCGCAAGACUUGUAAAACCUUCCAAAAGGGCAAAAA